CGUGGAUUGAUUUGUCUGGUUUAUUCCGAUAACGAGCGAGACUUUGACUAUUAAAUAGUGCUUCUGUUAUUUUGCAGUUGUUCACUUCUUAAAAGAAUUUGGGGUUUCCAACCUCAAGAGAUUGAGCAAUAACAGGUCUGUGAUGCCCUUAGAUGUUCGGGGCCGCACGCGUGCUACAAUGAUGGUAACAGCGUGAUUGUCCGGUUUCGUAAGGAAUUGGCAAACAGUUGAGAUAUUAUUAUGGCUGGAAUUGAGAUUUGAAAUUAUUUCUCAUGAACGAGGAAUUCCAAGUAAAUGUGAGUCAUCAACUCGCAUUGAAUACGUCCCUGCCCUUUGUAC
Molecule: ribosomal RNA, 339 nt
Filed under: Nematoda environmental sample
Lineage: Eukaryota; Metazoa; Nematoda
Description: SSU rRNA
Rfam family: Eukaryotic small subunit ribosomal RNA
Source: RNAcentral